UUCUGUAAGCCUGUGAAGGUGAGUUGAGAAGCUUGCUGGAGGUAUCAGAAGUGCGAAUGCUGACAUGAGUAACGACAAUGGGUGUGAAAAACACCCACGCCGAAAGACCAAGGGUUCCUGCGCAACGUUAAUCGACGCAGGGUUAGUCGGUUCCUAAGGCGAGGCUGAAAAGCGUAGUCGAUGGGAAACAGGUUAAUAUUCCUGUACUUCUGGUUACUGCGAUGGAGGGACGGAGAAGGCUAGGCCAGCUUGGCGUUGGUUGUCCAAGUUUAAGGUGGUAGGCUGAAAUCUUAGGUAAAUCCGGGGUUUCAAGGCCGAGAGCUGAUGACGAGUCGUCUUUUAGAUGACGAAGUGGUUGAUGCCAUGCUUCCAAGAAAAGCUUCUAAGCUUCAGGUAACCAGGAACCGUACCCCAAACCGACACAGGUGGUCGGGUAGAGAAUACCAAGGCGCUUGAGAGAACUCGGGUGAAGGAACUAGGCAAAAUGGCACCGUAACUUCGGGAGAAGGUGCGCCGGCUAGGGUGAAGGAUUUACUCCGUAAGCUCUGGCUGGUCGAAGAUACCAGGCCGCUGCGACUGUUUAUUAAAAACACAGCACUCUGCAAACACGAAAGUGGACGUAUAGGGUGUGACGCCUGCCCGGUGCCGGAAGGUUAAUUGAUGGGGUUAGCGCAAGCGAAGCUCUUGAUCGAAGCCCCGGUAAACGGCGGCCGUAACUAUAACGGUCCUAAGGUAGCGAAAUUCCUUGUCGGGUAAGUUCCGACCUGCACGAAUGGCGUAACGAUGGCGGCGCUGUCUCCACCCGAGACUCAGUGAAAUUGAAAUCGCUGUGAAGAUGCAGUGUAUCCGCGGCUAGACGGAAAGACCCCGUGAACCUUUACUGUAGCUUUGCACUGGACUUUGAGCCUGCUUGUGUAGGAUAGGUGGGAGGCUUUGAAGCGUGGACGCCAGUUCGCGUGGAGCCAUCCUUGAAAUACCACCCUGGCAUGCUUGAGGUUCUAACUCUGGUCCGUAAUCCGGAUCGAGGACAGUGUAUGGUGGGCAGUUUGACUGGGGCGGUCUCCUCCUAAAGAGUAACGGAGGAGUACGAAGGUGCGCUCAGACCGGUCGGAAAUCGGUCGCAGAGUAUAAAGGCAAAAGCGCGCUUGACUGCGAGACAGACACGUCGAGCAGGUACGAAAGUAGGUCUUAGUGAUCCGGUGGUUCUGUAUGGAAGGGCCAUCGCUCAACGGAUAAAAGGUACUCCGGGGAUAACAGGCUGAUACCGCCCAAGAGUUCAUAUCGACGGCGGUGUUUGGCACCUCGAUGUCGGCUCAUCACAUCCUGGGGCUGAAGCCGGUCCCAAGGGUAUGGCUGUUCGCCAUUUAAAGUGGUACGCGAGCUGGGUUUAGAACGUCGUGAGACAGUUCGGUCCCUAUCUGCCGUGGACGUUUGAGAUUUGAGAGGGGCUGCUCCUAGUACGAGAGGACCGGAGUGGACGAACCUCUGGUGUUCCGGUUGUCACGCCAGUGGCAUUGCCGGGUAGCUAUGUUCGGAAAAGAUAACCGCUGAAAGCAUCUAAGCGGGAAACUUGCCUCAAGAUGAGAUCUCACUGGGAACUUGAUUCCCCUGAAGGGCCGUCGAAGACUACGACGUUGAUAGGCUGGGUGUGUAAGCGUUGUGAGGCGUUGAGCUAACCAGUACUAAUUGCCCGUGAGGCUUGACCA
This 1706-nucleotide ribosomal RNA is filed under the name Pseudomonas aeruginosa. RNAcentral describes it as "partial 23S ribosomal RNA". It matches the Rfam family "Bacterial large subunit ribosomal RNA", at positions 1239 to 2925 of the family's 2925-position model. The record is from RNAcentral. Lineage: Bacteria; Pseudomonadati; Pseudomonadota; Gammaproteobacteria; Pseudomonadales; Pseudomonadaceae.